This 21-nucleotide non-coding RNA is filed under the name Arabidopsis thaliana (thale cress). Lineage: Eukaryota; Viridiplantae; Streptophyta; Magnoliopsida; Brassicales; Brassicaceae. The record is from RNAcentral.
CUUCCAUUUCCUGGCCGUCAC